Neogale vison (American mink) is the source of this 1057-nucleotide long non-coding RNA. RefSeq lists it as uncharacterized. The transcript is spliced from 3 exons. The record is from RefSeq and is a predicted model, not a curated record. Lineage: Eukaryota; Metazoa; Chordata; Mammalia; Carnivora; Mustelidae.
UUCCAGGACACAGCUAAGUUACUUGGAAACCAUUUAUUUGAUCUUUUCAGGUGUUGUUUGCAAGACUUGUUAGGCAGAACUGGGGUGGUGUUCCACCUAGAAUGAAUUCUGUCCCUCUGUGCAUUCUGGACUCUGUGUACUCUUGUGAAUCCUGACAUCUUCCAGUCCUGCCUCAGGAAAGGCAUUAUUCCUGGCCUUACGUGAUACCUGAUGAAUGGAAGAUGCCUGCAUUAGAGCACUGGGUUAUUUUCAGAGGCUUCAUUAUCUCAGCUGGAAAAUCCUGGGGUAGCUUUUUUGCAAACCAAAUGGAGUUCAAUUAAUGUAUCCAGAGCAAAGGAUCAAGACCUAAAUAUUGAGAGUCAACAUUAGCAAAAGUCUCUCAGCUCCCAGAUGGUCAACUUCAACCUCCUGAAAUGCUCUUAGAAGAGGGGAAACUGAGAUUUUCCUGGAAUGGUGCUUUGAGGCACGGGAAAGAACUAAAAUGAACUCAUCUUAUUGGGUAUCGAUGAAAUCACGGAACCAUGGUUGAGGUUCCAAUAGGUUUCUUCAUCCGUCGGUGUAAAAAACGAGCAGAUAGCAAAGGAUCACCAAACACCUGAGGAAAACUCCAGCAGGUCCGAUGAAGAGCCAAACAGAGACAAAAAAAUAAUAACAACAGGAGAGACAACGAGCACAAAGAAAACAAAGCUAAUGAACCGUCUUCAACACGUAAGAGGAAAAUACAAUAUCCCUAAGAACAAAAUUCCUUUAAAAAGGAACACCCAGAGAGUAAUAAGCUGAAACAUAAUAGCUGAAAUUUAAACACACUAUGUUCAUGAGAAAGGUCCCAAAAAUAUAGUUAAAAAAAAAAAAAAGUGACAGAGGUAAGAGAGAAAGAAACAGACUCAGAAAAAUCAAUCCAGGAGGUCAUCUUUGCAACAGGGGACGCAGGGAGAAAGAAAACCGGGCAGGACAUUGCCAAAUACAUAAUAUGGAAAAAUCUCUGAGACCUCAGAUAUGCGUCUCUUUUGAUUAGUUUACAAACAGGUUUCAAAAUGAAUGAUAAACACCCGUUGCU